RNAcentral lists this ribosomal RNA (497 nucleotides) under uncultured bacterium. Its description in RNAcentral is "partial 16S ribosomal RNA". It matches the Rfam family "Bacterial small subunit ribosomal RNA", at positions 28 to 507 of the family's 1533-position model. The record is from RNAcentral.
GACGAACGCUGGCGGCGUGCCUAAUACAUGCAAGUUGAGCGCUGAAGGUUGGUACUUGUACCAACUGGAUGAGCAGCGAACGGGUGAGUAACGCGUGGGGAAUCUGCCUUUGAGCGGGGGACAACAUUUGGAAACGAAUGCUAAUACCGCAUAAAAACUUUAAACACAAGUUUUAAGUUUGAAAGAUGCAAUUGCAUCACUCAAAGAUGAUCCCGCGUUGUAUUAGCUAGUUGGUGAGGUAAAGGCUCACCAAGGCGAUGAUACAUAGCCGACCUGAGAGGGUGAUCGGCCACAUUGGGACUGAGACACGGCCCAAACUCCUACGGGAGGCAGCAGUAGGGAAUCUUCGGCAAUGGACGAAAGGCUGACCGAGCAACGCCGCGUGAGUGAAGAAGGUUGUCGGAUCGUAAAACUCUGUUGGUAGAGAAGAACGUUGGUGAGAGUGGAAAGCUCAUCAAGUGACGGUAACUACCCAGAAAGGGACGGCUAACUACGUG